This is a non-coding RNA of Podarcis lilfordi (Lilford's wall lizard), 69 nucleotides long. Lineage: Eukaryota; Metazoa; Chordata; Lepidosauria; Squamata; Lacertidae. The record is from the annotation of a GenBank genome assembly.
GCUGUAGCUCAGUGGCAGAGAAUCUGUCUUGUGUGCAGAAGGAUGCAGGUUCAAUCCCUGGCAUCUCCA